Molecule: RNA transcript, 2388 nt
Organism: Oryzias melastigma (Indian medaka)
Lineage: Eukaryota; Metazoa; Chordata; Actinopteri; Beloniformes; Adrianichthyidae
Gene: aebp2
Gene name: AE binding protein 2
Exons: 10
Source: RefSeq, a predicted model, not a curated record
AAUCAGAGCGCAGACAUUGUGAUUAGGUUCUCUCAGGCAGCAGAGAAGCAUUGCACCGAAAUUUUAACACGAAAGCGGCCCUGCGUUGCCUUCUUUGGUCGCCAUGGCUGCCGUGACUUCUGGAGAAGAAGCCGAACAGACCGCUUCGAGCGAUAUAGCAUGCGAAGGGGGGAACGACGAGAAGAAAGAAAACGGCCUCACUGAGCCGGAAACGGAGCAACAUAACAGCAGCUCCGAGCCAAAGAUGGAAGAGGUGGCCGCAGAGUCCGGCGAGGACAAACCCGUGGAAGCAGCAAGCAAGGCCGCGGGGGAGGCGGCAGCCGACGACACCGCCUCUACUCCUGCGACCAAGGAGACGACGGCAGCCACCGAAGAACCGGAGACGCACAGUCGCACAGAGGAUGGCAACAGCGAAAACACGAUGAAAGAUACUAAGGUGGAACCUGAGGAGGACAGCCGGAGUUCGGGCAUGGACUGCGAGAAGAGCAUAACUGUCUGUGAAGAUGGGGAGAAACCCAGCAAUGGAGGCGGGGAAAUGGGCGACAAGCGGCGGCCGAGUGAGGAGAUGUCCUCCUCGGAUGGCGAGCCGUUGAGCCGCAUGGACUCGGAGGACAGUAUCAGCAGUACCCUGAUGGAGAUGGAGAGCGGGGCCUCGAGUGGACGCUCCACCCCGGCGAUGAUGAACGGACAGGGCAGUGCACGAUCUUCGGGGAACAAGACCAUGGCGUACACCUGCUGCUGGGACCUCUGUCCGCAGUGCUUCAACUCCAGCCCGGACCUGGCUGAGCACAUCAGGGGGAUCCACGUGGACGGGCAGAGAGGAGGGGUGUUUGUGUGUCUGUGGAAAGGCUGCAAAGUGUACAACACACCGUCAACUAGUCAGAGCUGGCUCCAACGACACAUGCUGACCCACAGUGGGGACAAACCCUUUAAGUGUGUUGUUGGUGGCUGCAACGCCAGCUUUGCUUCCCAGGGAGGGCUGGCUCGCCAUGUCCCCAGCCACUUCAGCCAGCAGAGCUCCUCUAAAAUGUCCAGCCAGGCCAAACUGAAGGAGGAGUCUCCCUCCAAAGCCGGGUUAAAUAAGAGGAAGAAGCUCAAGAACAAGCGCAGGUGCACAUUACCGAGGCCGCAUGACUUCUUUGAUGUCCAAACCAUGGAUGCUAUUCGCCACAGGGCCAUCUGUCUCAACCUCACCACCCACAUUGAAAGUGGCGGUAAUGGCCACAGUGUUGUCUUUCACAGCACGGUGUUGGCCAGAAGAAAGGAGGGAUCUGGCAAGGUCAAGGUACUUCUACACUGGACACCUGAAGACAUAUUGCCUGAUGUGUGGGUGAAUGAAACGGAGCGAUCUCAGCUGAAGACCAAAGUGGUGCACUUAUCCCAGUUACCACAGGACACGGCCAUGCUGUUAGACCCAAACAUCUACCGAGCGCUUCCUCAAAAGCGGCUGAAGCGCAGCCUGUUAUUCUUUCCAGAUCUCAAAUGCAUUUUGGCAGCUUUGGUUCCCUGCUGUUAUCCUGGAAGCAGAGCGGGUUCCUGAAUGUUGACCCGCUGCUGAUAACACACCGACCCGAGCGUCUUCCAACUGAGAGCAGAGAUUAGUUAAUCCCUACUGGAGGGUCCUGUUUUGACAGUAAAGGCCUAGAUAGGCUAACAGAACGUUCUGUGCGGUAAUAAAGACCUACAUUUCUGCUUCCUGGAUCCAAUCUGAGAUGGAAAUAUGAAAACGAGGUCUCUGUGAAGCAAGGGAAGUCAAAGGAGGAAGCUUGCAUAAGUCAUUACAGUUGACCUGUAAGCAAAGAAAGGGUCUGCAUCAAUGACUUGAUGUCGAGUCCUGUUUUUGUGAUUGCCCACAACUCGCUGCUGUUUCAGCAUCCAGCCUGAGCGUUGAGUGGGCCUUCGGGCGUUCAUGCAGCUUUGACCUCCUUCUCUACGUUUCCAUCUGACUUUUGGAGGCAAACGGGGACGAUUUUAUGUUAUUCAUACUGGGCUUUGAAUCAUUGUCCCUGGAAUAAAAGUAGAGUUUGAAGAAGCUAAUUUACUGCUUUUUUUUUUUUUUUUUUUUGAUUGGUAGCAAAGACAUGAAACAAUCUGACCCCAAACGUCUGAGAUGACACUUAACACGCCAUAGUUUUGACAACACGCCUCAACUGUGGGAAACUGAUGGACUCCGUCAUGAUGGGCAGCGAUGGUGAUUAUAGACCAUUGCAUAAAAAUGGCUGCAGAAAUGGCCUGUUUUCUGCUCUGUGAACUCAGGCUCUUGGGAGAACUAAUCAGUGAAGCCUCAUUACCUCCACCUCUUUCCUAAUUUCAGCCUCAGCUUCAGAGCAUGAACGCUACUCCCAGUAUGAAAAGGAAAUCUGCAUACAUAAAUAUCCGUUUAUAUAA